This 827-nucleotide long non-coding RNA is filed under the name Citrus x clementina. Its description in RNAcentral is "Citrus clementina (C. clementina) long non-coding RNA (CCLE_LNC005234)". The record is from RNAcentral. Lineage: Eukaryota; Viridiplantae; Streptophyta; Magnoliopsida; Sapindales; Rutaceae.
AUGGUCCUGAAUAGGAGGGAAAAGAUCUUUCAGGGAGAAUUUUUUGAAAUUCGCUUUGCUUGAAGAAUAAAGUACGAUAGCCCUCUCUGCGUACUUAAUAGUUCCAGCAACCAAACUUGGAGUGGCAGUAAAUGUAAGCAUAUCGGUUCUCCAGAAUCGUAGAUACACAAUAAUGGCCCCAAGACCUUGAGUAAUAAGCGAAGGAAAUUGUUUCAGCCAGAGCUCAUUGUCUUCUAAAGCGUAACGUCACAGGACGAGAGGUUUUGAGCCCGUGCGGCACUCCGCAUCCCAUACUACGAGAGUAAGUGGCACAAUAUCGCUGAUUUCCUACUGCCUUGGGCUCAUCAGGAGAACGGCUCUUGUUCUCAACUAGUGUGUUUAGGGUUUCGCCUAGACCCCUCUUCAAUAUUAAGUCCUUGACUAGCGACAAGCUCCCCAAACUCAACCGGGUUGGCUUGAACUCCAAGGACUAUAGGACCAUUGUGUUCCCCACACGCUCGCCCCUGAAGCACGUCUCCAAUAAUCAGCACAAUCAUUAUCAAUACUAGCAUUCAAGCACAUAUCUUAGGUGUCACAAUUGGGGCCCGUGACAGUAAGCUGUGAUAGUAUCCGGGCCACCGAGGUGAAAAUUCAAAUAUGUACACAAAUAUGUAUGUUAACACUUAUAGGGUUGAGGACCAAAAUUCAACAAUUAGACCAUCUAUUACGAAGCUAAGGCACUAGGAUUACCCUAUGAAAGGUCAGUAUUAACCUUGACCAAACCAAUCUCAGGCGGACGCCAGUUUAAAACCAGAACUCUUGGAGCUCUCGCUAAAGAAAAAGGUAAC